Molecule: small nuclear RNA, 76 nt
Organism: Oryctolagus cuniculus (rabbit)
Lineage: Eukaryota; Metazoa; Chordata; Mammalia; Lagomorpha; Leporidae
Gene: U2
Rfam family: U2 spliceosomal RNA
About the family: U2 is a small nuclear RNA (snRNA) component of the spliceosome (involved in pre-mRNA splicing). Complementary binding between U2 snRNA (in an area lying towards the 5' end but 3' to hairpin I) and the branchpoint sequence (BPS) of the intron results the bulging out of an unpaired adenosine, on the BPS, which initiates a nucleophilic attack at the intronic 5' splice site, thus starting the first of two transesterification reactions that mediate splicing.
Source: Ensembl
AUCGCUUCUCGGCCUUUUGGCUAAGAUCAAGUGUAGUAACAAAAUUCUUUCUCUGGAUAUUGCUAAGAGAGCCUCU